This 446-nucleotide ribosomal RNA is filed under the name uncultured bacterium. RNAcentral's name for it is "partial 16S ribosomal RNA". It matches the Rfam family "Bacterial small subunit ribosomal RNA", at positions 338 to 795 of the family's 1533-position model. The record is from RNAcentral.
CCUACGGGAGACAGCAGUCGAGAAUCAUUCACAAUGGGGGAAACCCUGAUGGUGCGACGCCGCGUGGGGGAAUGAAGGUCUUUGGAUUGUAAACCCCUGUCAUGUGGGAGCAAAUUAAAAAGAUAGUACUACAAGAGGAAGAGACGACUAACUAUGUGCGAGCAGCCGCGGUAAUACAGAGGUCUCAAGCGUUGGUCGGAAUCACUGGGCGUAAGGCGUGCGUAGGCUGUUUUGUAAGUCGUGUGUGAAAGGCGCGGGCUCAACCCGCAGACGGCACAUGAUACUGGGAGACUAGAGUAAUGGAGGGGGAACCGGAAUUCGCGGUGUAGCAGUGAAAUGCGUAGAUAUCGAGAAGAACACUCGUGGCGAAGGCGGGUUCCUGGACAUUAACUGACGCUGAGGCACGAAGGCCAGGGGAGCGAAAGGGAUUAGAUACCCUGGUAGUC